This 254-nucleotide ribosomal RNA is filed under the name uncultured bacterium. RNAcentral's name for it is "partial 16S ribosomal RNA". It matches the Rfam family "Bacterial small subunit ribosomal RNA", at positions 524 to 776 of the family's 1533-position model. The record is from RNAcentral.
UACGGAGGGGGCAAGCGUUGUUCGGAAUUACUGGGCGUAAAGGGCGCGCAGGCGGCUGCUCAAGUCAGGCGUGAAAGGCCUGGGCUCAACCCGGGAAUUGCGCUUGAGACUGGGCUGGCUUGAGUGCGGGAGAGGAUGGUGGAAUUCCCAGUGUAGCGGUGAAAUGCGUAGAUAUCGGAAGGAACAUCAGUGGCGAAAGCGGCUUCCUGGACCAGCACCGACGUUCAGGCACGAAAGCGUGGGGAGCAAACAGG